This 497-nucleotide ribosomal RNA is filed under the name uncultured bacterium. RNAcentral describes it as "partial 16S ribosomal RNA". It matches the Rfam family "Bacterial small subunit ribosomal RNA", at positions 28 to 507 of the family's 1533-position model. The record is from RNAcentral.
GAUGAACGCUGGCGGCGUGCCUAAUACAUGCAAGUCGAGCGAACAGACGAGGAGCUUGCUCCUCUGACGUUAGCGGCGGACGGGUGAGUAACACGUGGAUAACCUACCUAUAAGACUGGGAUAACUUCGGGAAACCGGAGCUAAUACCGGAUAAUAUAUUGAACCGCAUGGUUCAAUAGUGAAAGACGGUUUUGCUGUCACUUAUAGAUGGAUCCGCGCCGCAUUAGCUAGUUGGUAAGGUAACGGCUUACCAAGGCAACGAUGCGUAGCCGACAUGAGAGGGUGAUCGGCCACACUGGAACUGGGACACGGUCCAGACUCCUACGGGAGGCAGCAGUAGGGAAUCUUCCGCAAUGGGCGAAAGCCUGACGGAGCAACGCCGCGUGAGUGAUGAAGGUCUUCGGAUCGUAAAACUCUGUUAUUAGGGAAGAACAAAUGUGUAAGUAACUAUGCACGUCUUGACGGUACCUAAUCAGAAAGCCACGGCUAACUACGUG